UAGACACUACUGUUGGAAUUUGCUUCAGGCC
RNAcentral lists this non-coding RNA (31 nucleotides) under Mus musculus (house mouse). The record is from RNAcentral. Lineage: Eukaryota; Metazoa; Chordata; Mammalia; Rodentia; Muridae.